CAAGUGGUGGAGCAUGUGGUUUAAUUCGAAGAUACGCGAAGAACCUUACCUGGCCUUGACAUUGAAAAGAAUCCCGUAGAGAUACGGGAGUGCCCUUCGGGGAGCUUGAAAACAGGUGCUGCACGGCUGUCGUCAGCUCGUGUCGUGAGAUGUUGGGUUAAGUCCCGCAACGAGCGCAACCCUCGUCACUAGUUACUAACGGUUCGGCCGAGGACUCUAGUGAGACUGCCUUCGCAAGGAGGAGGAAGGUGAGGACGACGUCAAGUCAUCAUGGCCCUUACGGCCAGGGCGACACACGUGCUACAAUGGGUAGGACAAUGAGACGCGAUACCGCGAGGUGGAGCAAAUCUAUAAACCUACUCUCAGUUCGGAUUGCACUCUGCAACUCGAGUGCAUGAAGCUGGAAUCACUAGUAAUCGUAGAUCAGCCAUGCUACGGUGAAUACGUUCCCGGGUCUUGUACUCACCGCCCGUCACACCAUGGGAGUUGAUUUCACCCGAAGCGGGGAAGCUAAACUGG
Molecule: ribosomal RNA, 519 nt
Filed under: uncultured Campylobacterota bacterium
Lineage: Bacteria; Pseudomonadati; Campylobacterota
Description: bacterial SSU rRNA
Rfam family: Bacterial small subunit ribosomal RNA
Source: RNAcentral